GCAUUGAUCACUUUGACAAUUUAUUAUUAUUAUUAUUACAAUAAUUCCGCAAAGGCAGGAAUAUGUAGACUAGAAAGGGGGAAAUCCCACACAUCCCCCCGGGAAAAUCGCACCCUGGCUACUCGUACAGUCAGACCUGCCUUCAUACCAAACAUAUGCAGGUUGGUCACACUGAACUGUUCCUCUGGGAAGUGACCAUUGAUCCUCUGCUACAGUCAGAAGCAGAGGGGUAAGUUUUCUGCAGCUAAUUAACCUUAUUACUUCCCCAGUUUAUCUGUCGGAGCAGUGUUUCCCAUACUUCCUUAUCACUGCUGAUAAGAGCCUCUCCUAAAGAGAUGAACACAAGACGUUUGUGUCUGUGUGUAGGCAUGUGAAUGAGUCAUAUGUACACAAAUGACCGUGUGUGUGUGUGUGUGUGUGUGUGUGUGUGUGUGUGUGUGUGUGUGUGUGUGUGCGCGUGUGUGUGCGCGUGUCUGCACCUGCUUCCCUGGGAGGAAACAUCUGCUGCAGGGUGUCAGAGGCCACCUGUCUGACUCCGUCCUCCCUGACCAUUCCUGCAGAACUGAUCUACUGUACAAGGCUUCAGUCGGGAUGAGAGCUGACAACAGCCCCGGCCCGGGGACACAUCCACAGUCAGCCCCCAGCCAGCCAGCCACUAUCAUUACAGCAAUCCAAACCGGUCAACACUUAACUCCGGUGCUAAGGACACUAACGGCAGUUUACUGAACCGUCGGGAAACAGACCCAGGCACCCGAGUCAGAACAGCGCCCAUUUGUAACGUUACACCUCUGUUAGCAUUACCGGUGGUCGUGCCGAAAAUCUCCUCCCUGCUUUCUCACCCCGCGACACAGGUUCGUGGGUCUGAGUGUUGCAAAUUCAGUUUCAUAUCACAUAUCGUUACAGCCCUAUGGACAACACAUUUUUAUUUUUCACCACACUAUGUAACACCACAAAACUUUUAUUGGUACUGGACGCUGGCCUUGUAUGUACAUUAUGUUUUUAAGGAAACGUGCUAUAUCGACAUUCCUUGGAAGAAAUGGCAGGGGAAAAUGACUGACUUGUUUGGAAGUGUGGCAUUGUUAAACAACAUAUUACCACAAUCCCCUGAAGUGCGUGUGGGCACAUAGAGCACCAUUGUUCUUAGCAGCUUACAGGUGUCCUCUAAAGUUAAUCCAAAUUUCUGUCAAUUCAAGGGAAGCGCCAUAAUUCAGAUUUCCCAAUGUGGUACCAAUUCCAAAGAAAAGAAGAGUCCAGGCUAGUUGCCUUGAUGUCAACAUCAUCUUUCAAAUGUUUUUAUUAAAAACUUGGGUCUCAGCUCGUCUGUCAGGGAGAUGGAGGCGCUGAACCUGCUGCCAAGUCUUUUUUCUCAAACCCAAGACUUCUGCAGACAUUUUCUCUGUUUUGAUGUUAGUAAAUGUUUCUGAAACCGAUGUGCUGAUCACUGAUUUUAGAUAUAACAUAUAUAUAUUUAUAUAUAGUAAGAGACAACAUAGAGAGCGGAUAGUAUGAAUUGUUGAGCAAACAGAGAUGGUUGCAUAUUCCUCAAAAACAUGCUUUAUUUCUUUUAUCUGCUGCUUUCAUUCCUCAUUCUGCAGCUUAUCAUCAAGAAACCCACUAGCACUUGGAGUCUAGCUGAGAACAUACGUAGAUGCUAAACUGUCUCAGCUGCCACCAGUGCACCACUAGUUUCUCCUACUCAUUAUUACGUUUUUUUUAUGGAAGACCGAUGUAAUUAAUGAUGUCAAUAAAGGUUACAUUCCAUUUAGGUAUUCCAAAGUCCUUUAAUCUCCAAACUGAAUGCUUUCUGGCUUUUAAAAUGCUUCAUAACCGCUGUUUAGAUGUUUGUGUAUUAAUGUCCGCAUACAUCUUUACAUGUCAUCAGGUUGCUAUAUGCUAUCUUUUUAUGUUUUAUGAAAAAAUGUAUGAGUGAAAAGGUGUCUGUAUCCUGAUGCAUGGAUCAAACUUAUCAACCAAAUGUUAUAUUCAGUUGUAGUUGCACCUAAAUCGUUAACUAAAAAUGGAAACAGCGGAAGAAUUCUCCAUUACAAAUAAAGUCCAUGUUGAGUUAAUGUCUGAUACUUAAGUAUAUUUUGAUACUUUAUUUUUUCUUUGCAACUUGCAUAAAAGUAAAGUAUUAAAAUGACCUUAGUUAUCAGACGUUAAAUCAAACCGUGAAGGACAGACAGACCAUCAUUUAAAUCAUAUCUUAUAUGCUUUGAAAAAGGAGGGAAAUAAAGAAACAUGAACUCAU
This is a long non-coding RNA of Perca flavescens (yellow perch), 2251 nucleotides long. RefSeq lists it as uncharacterized. The transcript has 2 exons. The record is from RefSeq and is a predicted model, not a curated record. Lineage: Eukaryota; Metazoa; Chordata; Actinopteri; Perciformes; Percidae.